UACGUAGGGGGCCAGCGUUGUCCGGAAUCAUUGGGCGUAAAGCGCGCGUAGGCGGCCAGAUAAGUCCGGUGUGAAAGUCAAAGGCUCAACCUUUGAAUGCCGCUGGAAACUGCCUGGCUUGAGUCCGGAAGGGGCGAGUGGAAUUCCUGGUGUAGCGGUGAAAUGCGCAGAUAUCAGGAGGGAACACCAAUGGCGAAGGCAGCUCGCUGGAACGGUACUGACGCUGAGGCGCGAAAGCGUGGGGAGCGAACAGGAUAG
Molecule: ribosomal RNA, 258 nt
Filed under: uncultured bacterium
Lineage: Bacteria
Description: partial 16S ribosomal RNA
Rfam family: Bacterial small subunit ribosomal RNA
Source: RNAcentral